This 148-nucleotide unclassified non-coding RNA is filed under the name soil metagenome. Its description in RNAcentral is "partial internal transcribed spacer 1". The record is from RNAcentral.
CCGAGUUUACAACUCCCAAACCCCUGUGAACAUACCACUUGUUGCCUCGGCGGAUCAGCCCGCUCCCGGUAAAACGGGACGGCCCGCCAGAGGACCCCUAAACUCUGUUUCUAUAUGUAACUUCUGAGUAAAACCACUAAAUAAAUCA